This 61-nucleotide transfer RNA is filed under the name Dipodomys ordii (Ord's kangaroo rat). The record is from Rfam by way of RNAcentral. Lineage: Eukaryota; Metazoa; Chordata; Mammalia; Rodentia; Heteromyidae.
GGUGCUGUGGCUUAAGCGGUAGAGCGCUUGCCUUGAGCUCAAGAGCGCAGGGACAGCACCC